AGAUGGAUAGUUUAAGGGAAAAAUAUCCUGCCUCUAAUGGGAAGAUGAAAGUUCGAGUCUUUCUUCAUCUG
RNAcentral lists this transfer RNA (71 nucleotides) under Arachidicoccus ginsenosidimutans. Its description in RNAcentral is "Arachidicoccus sp. BS20 tRNA". It matches the Rfam family "tRNA". Rfam says of the family: Transfer RNA (tRNA) molecules are approximately 80 nucleotides in length. Their secondary structure includes four short double-helical elements and three loops (D, anti-codon, and T loops). Lineage: Bacteria; Pseudomonadati; Bacteroidota; Chitinophagia; Chitinophagales; Chitinophagaceae. The record is from Rfam by way of RNAcentral.